RNAcentral lists this ribosomal RNA (253 nucleotides) under uncultured bacterium. RNAcentral describes it as "partial 16S ribosomal RNA". It matches the Rfam family "Bacterial small subunit ribosomal RNA", at positions 524 to 776 of the family's 1533-position model. The record is from RNAcentral.
UACAGAGGGUGCGAGCGUUAAUCGGAAUUACUGGGCGUAAAGCGUGCGUAGACGGCUAUCUAAGUCGGGUGUGAAAGCCCCGGGCUCAACCUGGGAAUUGCAUUCGAGACUGAAUAGCUAGGGUACGGUAGAGGGAAGUGGAAUUUCCGGUGUAGCGGUGAAAUGCGUAGAGAUCCGGAGGAACACCAGUGGCGAAGGCGACACGCUGGGCCGUACCUGACACUGAUGCGCGACAGCAUGGGGAGCAAACAGG